Molecule: RNA transcript, 3221 nt
Organism: Larimichthys crocea (large yellow croaker)
Lineage: Eukaryota; Metazoa; Chordata; Actinopteri; Sciaenidae
Gene name: AP-1 complex subunit sigma-2
Exons: 7
Source: RefSeq, a predicted model, not a curated record
UAGCCAAUGAGAAACACCGUGAGCACCUCGUUGACCAAUCAGAAGCUCCGAUGUCCUACUGUGUGUUUCAGGCUGUCGUUGGGAGGCUGAUAUCUUCAGGAGGAGAAUACAGUGUUUGUUAUUGAAGAUGCAGUUCAUGCUCCUCUUCAGCCGCCAAGGCAAGCUCAGGCUUCAGAAGUGGUACGUGCCUUUGUCUGAUAAGGAGAAAAAGAAGAUCACCAGAGAGCUGGUGCAGACUGUGCUGGCACGAAAGCCCAAAAUGUGCAGCUUUCUGGAGUGGAGAGACCUCAAGAUUGUAUAUAAGAGAUAUGCCAGCCUGUACUUCUGCUGUGCCAUCGAGGACCAGGACAACGAGCUCAUCACGCUGGAGAUCAUCCACAGAUAUGUGGAGUUGCUGGACAAAUACUUUGGCAGUGUUUGUGAGCUGGACAUUAUUUUCAACUUUGAGAAGGCUUACUUCAUCCUGGAUGAAUUCCUGCUGGGUGGAGAAGCUCAGGAGACGUCCAAAAAGAAUGUAUUGAAGGCCAUUGAGCAGGCUGACCUACUGCAGGAGAGCCAGAGUGAAGACUGGGGAAGUUUGCCAAAUGAGGAGAUCUUGUAAUGGGCCUAGAGUCCAUCCAUGCCUCCAUCCAGGCAAUUGGUAACUAGAAGACUGAUGCAGUCGGACGCCAAAGAUGCAGAGACUCCACGCAGCGUACUGGAGGAAAUUGGACUGACAUAAACACAUCGUCAUCCUCCUCAUCAUCAUCAUCAUCGUCAUCCACACACUCCAUCUGCCGGUUACUCUGUACGCUGUAUGUAGCUGGUAACAACUCCAAGUUCACCUUUGAACACACUCACACUCACACACUCUACCUUUGUUUUCUACUUUCAAACAAUGUAGCACUGUUAAGUUAUUUAUUUGUUUACCGUGAUGACGUUCACUGUUACCAAGGACAGAUCAAUGAUUUCUAUUUGACCAAAGCUGACGAGAUCUCUCUAUUCUGUGAAAUAUAUUCAAUGAACUGAAUUUCAAAUGUGUUAUAAAGUCAAAAGUUUUACAUCAACAGAACCAAAGAGUUACUUUCCAUCUCGCCUUUCUUUAAAAAUGCGUUGUGAUUGCCACUGAGGCCACUGCAGUAUGUGGAUGAACGAGCUUAAAGACGGGAAAUGUUGUCAUAUAAUGAGUAUCCUCUCAGUUUACAGACCAUUAUCGCUCCUAUAGUCUGUUUGGUCUAAUGGCAGGAUCCCUCUUUAAUGCUGAAUGCCUUAAUCGCUGACGGAUGUCCGUUCAUUUCUAAUGAAUAAUUCAAUUGCAUUUGCAUGCUGCUGCAGUAAAGCAGUUUUAUUACUGCACCGUGUGCCAGAACUAAAUUAACAGUUCUUUUUCUUCUUGUUUACGACUGUUCGACUUCUCAUUUAGUUUUUUUUAUGAUGAAAAUAAUGUUCCACUUACAUAAAUAUAGAGUGAUGUCCAGGUUCAAUCCAAAGCAACUUUGUAUUUUUACAAUUUAGCACCUCCAGUUUCAGAGAUUAAUAGCACUGUGUUAAAUAUGGACAGCUGUACACGUGUAUCUGUUCUGAUUACAUUACUUAUGAUCAAAAACUAGCGAGUCGACAACUUUGCUAACAGACAAACGUCAAGCAAGGUCAACAACACACAAGACAUAGCAGCAAGCUCAUAUUACUGACUAGUCCAACAGCUAAAAGUCCAGCUCGGCGUCUUUAAGCCUUAUAUUUCACCAAGCUCUCACCAAUGACUAAAAGUCGGUCCCAGAUUUCCUCUUGUCAGACGACUUCUUGCUCGGUCACGCUCUCCUUUUGUCUUCUUAGCUUUCUCCAUCAGUGUCUCCUUUAGUCUCUUCUACUCUGUCAUCAUGUCCACAGAGCCUCCUGAACCCUGUUCAAUGUAGCAUCAGCAUGAUUUAAAAUCAGUUAUUUUAUGGCAGAAAAGUGACACAAUGUUGCUUUAAGACACGGGAUGUUUUUCCCCUUAAAGCCACAUGAAUAAUUUUUUGUCCAAAAGGUGGCAGAAGAACUCCAAACACACAGCACUGAAACGUGUUGCCUUAUGAUGUUCCUGUGGAUCAUAUGGUAGCAAACAGUGACCUACUUACACAUACAUCAGACUUCUCUCCACCUGUAGAGUGGACUGUUCCUCCUUUCUCCACCAAACUCCUGCUCCUCACUACAAGCCGCUCGUUUCACAUUCAUCUGACACAAUGAAAAAUAUUGAUAAACGCAGCUCUAACUUUACAAAUUAUGACGGCAUAGGAAUUAAUUAUCAAAUAUGUGUAAUUUAAUUUAAAGGACCAGUGUGCCAGCUCACCCUCUCCUUUGAUGCAUGAAGCAGAAACUACGGUUUGUCCGUUCUGGGCCUGCUCCCUCUGUAGAUAUAAAAGACUCAUUCAAAGGUAACAAAAACAUAAAGAUUCUUAUUCUAAUCAGGUGAUUACACACUCAUGAAAACAUUGUUAUGAAUAUUAUAUUCAGUUUCUGCCUUAUUGUGCAAACAGAGCGCCCUGAAUCUGACACACCGGACCUUUAAAAUAAAUGUGGGAGACUUUUUGGAGAUGGAUGAAAUGAGAGCAUAGAAAUCAGUUUUCCUCUUUGUCAGUGUUGAUAUUUAGUUAGUGACAAACUAAUCAUACAGACCUCUGAUCAGUGUGACGGCUUUACGACAACAGUCUACUCUUUUAAAGCCGUUUCACUGUCUAGCCCACAUCGGUAGUGAUUUAAUAUUUUAAAAAAAAUUCACCUCUGACAGCCACAUGUGACCUACUGUACAGCAUGUAAACUACCUAUUUAAUACUGUGACUCUGAAGACAAAAGAGCGCUAAAGCCACCAUGCAUACAAUAACAAUAGUGUUAAGUUUUCAGCAGUUAGUUUCCAGAUAUUUGGUUAGACAUUUUGCAACUUCGAUGUAUGACGAUAUGCUGAAAUACUGAAAUUCCUGUUACCACUUUUAUAUAACUUCAAAUGAGCAUUUUCAUGUUAAUUUAUUGUGUACGAUACGCUGUAUGUCCAAAGUGUGACUGAAUCUAUGGCAUCCUCUACUGUGUGUUAGUGAGUACAGUAUAGUUACAGCAUGACUGCGUCUUACAUUACUGGACUUGUGUUUACUUACAGAGGAUCCAUUGUUGUCGUUUACUGCUGUAAAAAGGAGGAAGGCUGUGUUUUCCUGUUCGGGUUCAGCAAUAAAGAGUUCUCUAGUGGCAGAGAGGCUGUACUGUCACAAACA